Long non-coding RNA from Alligator sinensis (Chinese alligator), 603 nucleotides. RefSeq lists it as uncharacterized. The transcript has 3 exons. The record is from RefSeq and is a predicted model, not a curated record. NCBI's taxonomy places the organism in Eukaryota, Metazoa, Chordata, Crocodylia, Alligatoridae.
CCCAACCUUGGUCAUACUGGUUUGUAAAUGUACUGAGGGGCAAAUUCUUUGAGAACAAAGACACAUGGAGGCUUUUCGCCCCCAUAUUUUGCUUUUACUUAAAAUCCAUUAAAUCCAAAAGCUUCACAAGAGCUUGAGCAACCAAACCAGGUGCUGACUCUUGUCAGAGCAGCAACCAGGCAGGACAGUGCUUAGACAGCAUUUUCCCAAAAUUAGUUAUAAUUAAUAAUUUGCUUUUCUCCCCCCAAGGUCCUUUCAGAAACUCUCACAAGGCAGUCAGAGAAAAAGCACACCUGAAAUGAUCUCUAAGGCACCAAAUCUUGCAAAUAUGGAUAAACCACUUUGGCUUAGAGAUAUGUAUCUGCCACUGGAUGCUGUACAUAAAAAAUCCAUGGCAAGGAAAUUAUAUGAUGAAGGUUCCUCAGGUGAAGAAGAAAUUUUCAACAAGGCUUAUUUAAGGAAAGAAACUGAGCCGUCAUCUGACAACGAAAGCUACUAAUUGUAUUUCUGUGACUAUACCAUAUAUCAAGAAUACUGUGUUAUAAAGUUGCUUUUUAUUAACCAGAUAAAAACAAAAUAUUAUCUUCAGAAUAUACUACUAAA